UCUCGGUAGUGGAGGCAGCGCCGUCAGC
Molecule: small RNA, 28 nt
Filed under: Bombyx mori (domestic silkworm)
Lineage: Eukaryota; Metazoa; Arthropoda; Insecta; Lepidoptera; Bombycidae
Description: ovarian small RNA-29773
Source: RNAcentral